GGGCACACGGAAUAAGAUUUGGUCUCCAGACUCACCCGGCCCCGGUGAUGCACGGUUCCAGAAUGGACACAGCUGAGAUGACACGCAUGCUGGGGAGUACAUAUUGACGGCAGCCUAAAUGUGACAGUUGUGUUCCUUGGAUGACGUGCGGGGAAAUACAAGUUGUUCUCGCAGCUCCUGGCCAAAUUCACCAAAGAGCUGUGAUAGAGUAAAGAAACAGCAUUGAUGUAUGAUUAAGUGUUUUGAAAUGACGUGUGGGACGGGGCUGGGGUGUAAAAAAUAUAUGGGGCAACUCAAUCUAUCCAAACUGAGCUACAGUAAAUAAACACACAGGUCAUUCGCUGUGCAUUAUGCAUUUAAAUAGAGCGGCAUAGGGGUUGCUAUCAGUGCUUGAGCCCUCUUGUCUGUGUGUUGUGGGCAAAUGUAACGCCCCGCCUCGCUCCGGUACCGCAGCACUUGGUCAAAUAGCACAUCUGUCUUGUUCUUUGUGAUUUCAUUAACUCUAAUAUCUGCACUUCCUAUUACCCCAGCUGCCUCUCAUUCAAAGGCACACAGGCUCGCUUCUCUAAUGCAGAGUGACACGCGAUAUACUUUCACUCACACAUUACGCGUUAGCCCGGAGCAAGGCCGCCCGCUCCUUUGAAAAUGUUGGAAUUAGGUUAUUUCUAUUGAAGUAUUAAAGCAAUUCUUCAGUUUAAGCUAUUAUUUCAUAACUUUUUUCUCUCUUUCCCUUGUUAUGUUUUUUUUUUUUUUUUCGGGCUGCAGUGUGAUUGAGAGGGAAACAGCGAUUAGGGUUCCCAUAACCUCCUUAUUAUCCUCUCUGCCCAAACAGAGCUCUGAGACUGAUGUAUUAUGUGAGGAUGACAUGAUUAUUAGACAACAAUCUGUUUCAUUUCUCUAAUAUCUCAACAACACCGGACCGAAGGCAAGAGAUACUGUGCUGUGAUUUUGUCCUUUUCAUAAUGUAGUAAAGGUGAUGGACAGGUAUUGGUGCACUAACACUUGCAAAUAAAGUGCCAUGGUAUUUUGCCAUAUAUGAAUAUGGUAACGUCUUUUAAACCAUAAUAAUACCAUGGUAUUCUUUGUAGUGUGAUAGAGUAUCAUUUAAAUCAAUAUCAUAGAACCACAGACAAUAAAUGAUUCAGUACAAUGGUAUAAUAUGUAUUACCUUGAGAAAUCGAUCCGUUAACAUUUCCAUUUAACUCAAAGGUGUUUGCUUGAUUGCCACAGGCUUUUAAGAGCCCUCUAAUAAUAUGUGUGAGUAUAUUGUGUGUAUGUGUGUGUGUGUAUUAAAAAUUAAAAAUAUAAAAUACUU
Carassius gibelio (silver crucian carp) is the source of this 1315-nucleotide long non-coding RNA. RefSeq lists it as uncharacterized. NCBI's taxonomy places the organism in Eukaryota, Metazoa, Chordata, Actinopteri, Cypriniformes, Cyprinidae. The transcript has 2 exons. The record is from RefSeq and is a predicted model, not a curated record.